CUCCUACGUCGUGGACAGGUUAGGUGCCGAGAAGCAGCGUGUUGCGUGGCUGUACUUCAGUGAUGCUGGAAUGUCCUACAGCAGCAAAUGCACCAUGAGGGACAGGUGCAGGCCUGGCCCUGAUGAAGAUGAUGAUGUUCAGCUGUGGCUGGUGGAGGAGUCAGAGGAAGCAGCAGAGAGCUGUCAAGUCCAUCGGCUGAAAACGAGAAGAACCCACCGCUGGAAACCUGCCAAUACUUGGCCGUCUACCUCAUCUCUGGAGGAGCUGCAGAGACCCACGGCUCAGAGACGUUAAUGGAAGCAUCAUCUCCACAUGGGAUCUCCAGACUCCCCUGUUCCCAGCUACUUUCUCCAGCUCAUCUUCUGGG
Molecule: long non-coding RNA, 368 nt
Organism: Fundulus heteroclitus (mummichog)
Lineage: Eukaryota; Metazoa; Chordata; Actinopteri; Cyprinodontiformes; Fundulidae
Exons: 3
Source: RefSeq, a predicted model, not a curated record